ACACGGGGGGCGCAAGCGUUAUUCGGAAUUAUUGGGCGUAAAGGGCGCGUAGGCGGUCUUGUCGGUCAGAUGUGAAAGCCCAGGGCUCAACCCUGGACGUGCAUUUGAAACAGCAAGACUUGAGUACGGGAGAGGAAAGCGGAAUUCAUGGUGUAGAGGUGAAAUUCGUAGAUAUCAGGAGGAACACCGAUGGCGAAGGCUGCUUUCUGGACCGAUACUGACGCUGAGGCGCGAAGGCGUGGGUAGCGAACAGGAUUAGAAACCCCGGUAGUCC
This 274-nucleotide ribosomal RNA is filed under the name uncultured bacterium. RNAcentral's name for it is "partial 16S ribosomal RNA". It matches the Rfam family "Bacterial small subunit ribosomal RNA", at positions 523 to 796 of the family's 1533-position model. The record is from RNAcentral.